UGGACAUUCUUGGGUUUCUCUGCAGCUAAAGAAUGGACUACAACAAUUAAUUUAUUUAUUUUUGUGUGUAAAUUGAUGCAAACCUAGGAUGACAAUGUUAUACAUGUAUACACGGAAAAACAUAAAAUAAAAAAUAUUUGGAAGAUUUAUGACGUUGAUGACCGUUGAAACGCAGGUCAUCACGUCAGGCCAGCUGUGAGGGGAAGUCGAAGCAGCUCGAGAAAGUUGGCGCUUUUAUCAGAUCGUUUGUUUGGAGUCUCUGUUUGUUCCAGCCAUUGUGUUCCUUCAUGCUCCUCCAGAGACUACUAUCCGGAUUGUCCGUGCCAGUGUUGUGACUCUUGCAUCUUUCACCAUGUGACGUUGUCCGGGGCCCAGGGAGUUCUUACAAACAGAUUGAUGGCAACAAUGAACAUGGAUGGUUCAGGGGUGAAGAAGGCCUUUAAAAAACACGGCUAUGUUGUGUUAUAAUAGGUGGGAAUUGCAUCAGAGGGAGAAGACUUCACAGUGCCUCCAUAUACAUGGAUGUCAGCUGACGUCAAUCACUUGUCUUCCGCCAUUUUGAGGACCUGAAGUGGUCGCAAAAGAACUAGAAGCUAUGCCUUCAAUAUGCUGUGAGCAUCAAAAUCGCUAUUUUAACAACACUAAGAAGGCUCAACACAACAUGAUAUUUUGCUCGAAGUAUCGCCUAUGUCUC
Molecule: long non-coding RNA, 694 nt
Organism: Paramisgurnus dabryanus
Lineage: Eukaryota; Metazoa; Chordata; Actinopteri; Cypriniformes; Cobitidae
Source: RefSeq, a predicted model, not a curated record